Molecule: ribosomal RNA, 246 nt
Filed under: uncultured Lactobacillus sp.
Lineage: Bacteria; Bacillati; Bacillota; Bacilli; Lactobacillales; Lactobacillaceae
Description: partial 16S ribosomal RNA
Rfam family: Bacterial small subunit ribosomal RNA
Source: RNAcentral
CGUGGGUAACCUGCCCAAGAGAUCGGGAUAACACCUGGGAACAGAUGCUAAUACCGGAUAACAACAGAUGAUGCCUAUCAACUGUUUAAAAGAUGGUUCUGCUAUCACUCUUGGAUGGACCUGCGGUGCAUUAGCUAGUUGGUAGGGUAACGGCCUACCAAGGCGAUGAUGCAUAGCCGAGUUGAGAGACUGAUCGGCCACAUUGGGACUGAGACACGGCCCAAACUCCUACGGGAGGCAGCAGCC